GGAAAAGCAAAGAUGGAAAAGAGUAGACUUUAUAAAUCAUCCAGAGAGAAGAAUACUUGGUGGAAGUUCUUUAUGAAAGCGUUUAGUUGAAAACCAUUCCUGAGCUGUUGUGCUGAACCAAUAAGUAAGUACAUCCGUAUGUCUGCGUUAAAGGCUAGGAUUUGUUAGAAUCUGAAGUGAAAAGUUAAGGUGGAACCGUGCACAGAUUAUAAUUGCACCCUUAAA
This 225-nucleotide non-coding RNA is filed under the name Cellulosilyticum lentocellum. RNAcentral describes it as "Clostridium lentocellum T-box sequence". It matches the Rfam family "T-box leader". Rfam says of the family: Uncharged tRNA acts as the effector for transcription antitermination of genes in the T-box leader family. T-boxes are found upstream of many aminoacyl-tRNA synthetase genes and some amino acid biosynthetic genes usually in Gram-positive bacteria. Lineage: Bacteria; Bacillati; Bacillota; Clostridia; Lachnospirales; Cellulosilyticaceae. The record is from RNAcentral.